GAUGAACGCUGGCGGCGUGCCUAAUACAUGCAAGUCGAGCGAACAGACGAGGAGCUUGCUCCUCUGACGUUAGCGGCGGACGGGUGAGUAACACGUGGAUAACCUACCUAUAAGACUGGGAUAACUUCGGGAAACCGGAGCUAAUACCGGAUAAUAUAUUGAACCGCAUGGUUCAAUAGUGAAAGACGGUUUUGCUGUCACUUAUAGAUGGAUCCGCGCCGCAUUAGCUAGUUGGUAAGGUAACGGCUUACCAAGGCAACGAUGCGUAGCCGACCUGAGAGGGUGAUCGGCCACACUGGACCUGAGCCACGGUCCAGACUCCUACGGGAGGCAGCAGUAGGGAAUCUUCCGCAAUGGGCGAAAGCCUGACGGAGCCACGCCGCGUGAGUGAUGAAGGUCUUCGGAUCGUAAAACUCUGUUAUUAGGGAAGAACAAAUGUGUAAGUAACUAUGCACGUCUUGACGGUACCUAAUCAGAAAGCCACGGCUAACUACGUG
RNAcentral lists this ribosomal RNA (497 nucleotides) under uncultured bacterium. Its description in RNAcentral is "partial 16S ribosomal RNA". It matches the Rfam family "Bacterial small subunit ribosomal RNA", at positions 28 to 507 of the family's 1533-position model. The record is from RNAcentral.